GACCUGAUAGCAUAAUUGGCUAGUGCACUUGCUCAUAUUGGUCUGAGGAAAAGGACUCAGUAGCAGAUCCCCGUUCGAUUCGGGGUCAGGCCA
Molecule: non-coding RNA, 93 nt
Organism: Mycena vulgaris
Lineage: Eukaryota; Fungi; Basidiomycota; Agaricomycetes; Agaricales; Mycenaceae
Source: the annotation of a GenBank genome assembly